AGGAAUCAGCUGUCCUCCCAUUGAGCUUGAGUAUCUGCAGUGGGUGACAGUCCCUGGCCAGGAUAAUGUAGUACAUAGCCCCUCAGCAGAUGCUGAUGUCAUGCUCUUGAACUUCCCAGCAUCCAGAACGAUAAUGCAUACUUUGGGGAUUCCUCCCAGGGUUCUGUGAGAACUUCACAUCAUAUCUUUUUGCAAAGAGUCUGCUAUCUGCUCAGCAUCAUCCUUUGUUCCACCAAGGGCCUUGAUAUAAUUUCUGAAAUGUUCUUAUUGGAGUUUUUAAAACUUACUUUUAGAAUAUCUGACAUUCAUAAUAGCAAAGCUUGUUGUCGUGUUUAAUUCU
Non-coding RNA from Ictidomys tridecemlineatus (thirteen-lined ground squirrel), 340 nucleotides. The record is from RefSeq and is a predicted model, not a curated record. Lineage: Eukaryota; Metazoa; Chordata; Mammalia; Rodentia; Sciuridae.